CCUACGUGAGGCUGCAGUGAGGAAUAUUGGUCAAUGGACGAGAGUCUGAACCAGCCAAGUAGCGUGAAGGAUGACUGCCCUCUGGGUUGUAAACUUCUUUUAUAUGGGAAUAAAACGUUCCACGUGUGGGAUUUUGUAUGUACCAUAUGAAUAAGGAUCGGCUAACUCCGUGCCAGUAGCCGCGAUAAUACGGAGGAUCCGAGCGUUAUCCGGAUUUAUUGGGUUUAAAGGGAGCGUAGGUGGAUUGUUAAGUCAGUUGUGAAAGUUUGCGGCUCAACCGUAAAAUUGAAGUUGAAACUGGCAGUCUGGAGUACAGUAGAGGUGGGCGAAAUUCGUGGUGUAGCGGUGAAAUGCUUAGAUAUCACGAAGAACUCCGAUUGCGAAGGCAGUUCACUGGACUGCAACUGACACUGAGGCUCGAAAGUGUGGGUAUCAAACAGGAUUAGAUACCCGAGUAGUC
Molecule: ribosomal RNA, 460 nt
Filed under: uncultured bacterium
Lineage: Bacteria
Description: partial 16S ribosomal RNA
Rfam family: Bacterial small subunit ribosomal RNA
Source: RNAcentral